RNAcentral lists this ribosomal RNA (500 nucleotides) under uncultured bacterium. RNAcentral's name for it is "partial 16S ribosomal RNA". It matches the Rfam family "Bacterial small subunit ribosomal RNA", at positions 30 to 522 of the family's 1533-position model. The record is from RNAcentral.
AUUGAACGCUGGCGGCAGGCUUAACACAUGCAAGUCGAGCGGGGGAAGGUAGCUUGCUACCGGACCUAGCGGCGGACGGGUGAGUAAUGCUUAGGAAUCUGCCUAUUAGUGGGGGACAACAUCUCGAAAGGGAUGCUAAUACCGCAUACGUCCUACGGGAGAAAGCAGGGGAUCUUCGGACCUUGCGCUAAUAGAUGAGCCUAAGUCAGAUUAGCUAGUUGGUGGGGUAAAGGCCUACCAAGGCGACGAUCUGUAGCGGGUCUGAGAGGAUGAGCCGCCACACUGGGAAUGAGACACGGCCCAGACUCCUACGGGAGGCAGCAGUGGGGAAUAUUGGACAAUGGGCGCAAGCCUGAUCCAGCCAUGCCGCGUGUGUGAAGAAGGCCUUUUGGUUGUAAAGCACUUUAAGCGAGGAGGAGGCUACUGAGAUUAAUACUCUUGGAUAGUGGACGUUACUCGCAGAAUAAGCACCGGCUAACUCUGUGCCAGCCGCCGCGUAA